Molecule: small nucleolar RNA, 136 nt
Organism: Cyprinodon variegatus (sheepshead minnow)
Lineage: Eukaryota; Metazoa; Chordata; Actinopteri; Cyprinodontiformes; Cyprinodontidae
Source: Ensembl
AAUGCCCCUUGAGGCGUUGCAGCUCAGCUGCUGGUGCUGCUGCUGUGUCAUAAGGAGGCAGAGAGAAACUGGUGGUGGUCUGCACUGAGACUCGACUACGUCCAGAGGACUCGGAGUCAAAAUCAGCACCAACACU